RNAcentral lists this ribosomal RNA (430 nucleotides) under uncultured bacterium. Its description in RNAcentral is "bacterial SSU rRNA". It matches the Rfam family "Bacterial small subunit ribosomal RNA", at positions 30 to 458 of the family's 1533-position model. The record is from RNAcentral.
AUUGAACGCUGGCGGCAUGCCUUACACAUGCAAGUCGAACGGCAGCGCGGGGCAACCUGGCGGCGAGUGGCGAACGGGUGAGUAAUAUAUCGGAACAUACCCUAGAGUGGGGGAUAACGUAGCGAAAGUUACGCUAAUACCGCAUACGCACUAAGGUGGAAAGUGGGGGGAUCUUCGGACCUCAUGCUCAUGGAGUGGCCGAUAUCUGAUUAGCUAGUUGGUGAGGUAAAGGCUCACCAAGGCGACGAUCAGUAGCUGGUUUGAGAGAACGACCAGCCACACUGGAACUGAGACACGGUCCAGACUCCUACGGAGGCAGCAGUGGGGAAUUUUGGACAAUGGGGGCAACCCUGAUCCAGCAAUGCCGCGUGAGUGAAGAAGGCCUUCGGGUUGUAAAGGCUACUUUUGUUCUAGGGAAGAAACGGUAGAG